UGUUGUAAGAAAAUUUAAUAUUUUAUUAGAUUACAUUGAAAAAACAUCUUUUAGUUUGAAUGACAAAGAAGAACGAAAUGAAGAAAAUUAAAAAGUAAUUUUUUCCUCACAAGCAGGAAAACAUAAAUUAUUGUUCCAUUACAAAAAGUUCAAUUGAAUCUACAGCAUAUCAUUAGUGCUCGAUCCUUGAAUCUAAUCUAUUGGCUUAAAACAGACUCCUUGGGGACGAGAAAUGAAAAAAGAAAGCUGGAAAAAUAAGAAAUAAAAAUUCGUGUCAGCUUUAGAAGGCUGUUCCCAAAUUUAACCACAAUGCCGAGCCUCUAACUAAAAAAUAGUUAAUAACACAAUUUUCAUGCUUAUCACCCGGAUCGUAACAGUUAAUGUUUAUUUUAAAAAAUUUUUAAUAAUAUUCAAUUAAAAAUAUACAAACAAUGGACGUUUCGCCGCUUUAUACGCGACCUUAUCAGGAUUGAAAAACAAGCGUGAAAAAAUUAACCGAAGUUUAUUUCAGGUUCAAUGAAAAAUUUAGUUUUUCUUCUUUUUGAAAAAUUUUUUCAUGCAAGCAAACACAAGAAAUCGAUCAAUAUUUAAAUGUUAAUAGAGAAAAUCCAAAUACGGAUAUAUUGGAUUGGUGGAAAAAUCACUAAAAAAAAUAUCCAGUUUUAGCUUUAGUAGCCAGAGAUAUAUUAUCCAUUCAGACAAGGUCUGUCCCAGUAAAAAGGCUUUUUUUCAGAGAUGUGGAUGACGGUGACGAGUAUCAUGGUGACCGGGAGAUAGAAAUGAUGGUGCCAAUGUGAUGGGAAUCGUGGCAUCGAAGUGACGGAACUCAUAGGGUCGAGGUGACAAGGAUCAUGGUGGCGAGGUGACGGGAAUCAUGGUACCCAGGUGACGAAGAUCGUUUGGACGUCAUACCGUUGAAGAGGACUUGCAAGAGUCGAUGGUGCAAAACUUCUUUAGUCCAUCGACGUCUCUUCGUUUUGGUAGGAGAAAGUACGAAAAGAAUCAUGAGAAAUUCGACUUAUCUCCCAAUUAAUACGGCAAAAAUUCGUCAAAGUUUAUGCAGCUGCAGCAAUCGCCAGAAGUAUUAUAUUAGAGUUAAACAUGUAAAAGCUUGAUA
This is a long non-coding RNA of Trichogramma pretiosum, 1117 nucleotides long. RefSeq lists it as uncharacterized. NCBI's taxonomy places the organism in Eukaryota, Metazoa, Arthropoda, Insecta, Hymenoptera, Trichogrammatidae. The transcript is spliced from 3 exons. The record is from RefSeq and is a predicted model, not a curated record.